CCUACGGGAGGCCGCAGUAGGGAAUCUUCCACAAUGGACGAAAGUCUGAUGGAGCAACGCCGCGUGCGUGAAGAAGGGUUUCGGCUCGUAAAGCUCUGUUGGUAGUGAAGAAAGAUAGAGGUAGUAACUGGCCUUUAUUUGACGGUACUUACUUAGAAUGUCACGGCUAACUACGUGCCAGCAGCCGCGGUAAUACGUAGGUGGCAAGCGUUGUCCGGAUUUAUUGGGCGUAAAGCGAGUGCAGGCGGGUCAAUAAGUCUGAUGUGAAAGCCUUCGGCUCAACCGGGGAAUUGCAUCAGAAACUGUUGAACUUGAGUGCAGAAGAGGAGGGUGGAACGCCAUGUGUAGCGGUGGAAUGCGUAGAUAUAUGGAAGAACACCGGUGGCGAAGGCGGCCUGCUGGACUGCGACUGACGUUGAGGCCCGAAAGCGUGGGGAGCAAACAGGAUUAGAUACCCCAGUAGUC
This 465-nucleotide ribosomal RNA is filed under the name uncultured bacterium. Its description in RNAcentral is "partial 16S ribosomal RNA". It matches the Rfam family "Bacterial small subunit ribosomal RNA", at positions 338 to 795 of the family's 1533-position model. The record is from RNAcentral.